This 511-nucleotide ribosomal RNA is filed under the name Austrothelphusa sp. ww23218. RNAcentral's name for it is "partial large subunit ribosomal RNA". It matches the Rfam family "Bacterial large subunit ribosomal RNA", at positions 1831 to 2592 of the family's 2925-position model. Lineage: Eukaryota; Metazoa; Arthropoda; Malacostraca; Decapoda; Parathelphusidae. The record is from RNAcentral.
GUCUAUUUGAAGGUAAAAAUAGUCUGGCCUGCCCACUGAUUAAUUGAUUUAAGGGCCGCAGUAUUAUGACUGUGCAAAGGUAGCAUAAUCAUUAGGUUUUUAAAUGGAAUCUUGUAUGAACGGUCGGACAAAGGAGAAACUGUCUCAAGUUUAAUUUUGAAUUUUACUUUUAAGUGAGAAGGCUUAGAUUUUUUAGAGGGACGAUAAGACCCUAUAAAGCUUUACAUACAAGUUAUAUUUAGCUUAAUUUAGGAUAUAAAAAGUUUUAUAUGGCUAUAUGUUUUGUUGGGGCAACAGAGGCAGAAUUAAUUAUAGCUGCUUAAAGGAGCGAACAAUUAUAUGUGAAAGCUAAUUGAUCCUAGUUAUAGAUUAGAAGUUUAAGUUACUUUAGGGAUAACAGUAUAAUUCUUUUUGAGAGUUCAUAUCGAAAAAAGAGUUUAUAACCUCGAUGUUGAAUUAAAAUAUCUUUAUAAUGCAGCUGUUAUAUGAGAAGGUCUGUUCGACCUUUAAU